UACAGAGGCUGCUAGCGUUAUUCGGAUUCACUGGGCGUAAAGGGUGCGCAGGCGGCCAAGUGUGUGAGGCGUGAAAGCCUGGGGCUUAACUCCAGAAUUGCACCUCAAACUACAUGGCUAGAGCAUUGGAGAGGGUAGCAGAAUUCACGGUGUAGCAGUGAAAUGCGUAGAUAUCGUGAGGAAUACCAGAGGCGAAGGCGGCUACCUGGACAAUUGCUGACGCUCAGGCACGAAAGCGUGGGGAGCAAAAGGG
This 253-nucleotide ribosomal RNA is filed under the name uncultured bacterium. Its description in RNAcentral is "partial 16S ribosomal RNA". It matches the Rfam family "Bacterial small subunit ribosomal RNA", at positions 524 to 776 of the family's 1533-position model. The record is from RNAcentral.